This 253-nucleotide ribosomal RNA is filed under the name uncultured bacterium. RNAcentral describes it as "partial 16S ribosomal RNA". It matches the Rfam family "Bacterial small subunit ribosomal RNA", at positions 524 to 776 of the family's 1533-position model. The record is from RNAcentral.
UACGGGGGGGGCAAGCGUUGUUCGGAAUUACUGGGCGUAAAGGGUUCGUAGGUGGCCACUUAAGUCAGACGUGAAAUCCCUCAGCUUAACUGGGGAACUGCGUCUGAUACUGAGUGGCUUGAGUGCAGGAGAGGAAUGCGGAAUUCCAGGUGUAGCGGUGAAAUGCGUAGAUAUCAGGAGGAACACCAAUAGCGAAGGCAGCUCGCUGGGACGGUACUGACGCUAAGGCGCGAAAGCGUGGGGAGCGAACAGG